RNAcentral lists this ribosomal RNA (366 nucleotides) under uncultured bacterium. Its description in RNAcentral is "partial 16S ribosomal RNA". It matches the Rfam family "Bacterial small subunit ribosomal RNA", at positions 355 to 739 of the family's 1533-position model. The record is from RNAcentral.
UGGGGAAUAUUGGACAAUGGGGGCAACCCUGAUCCAGCAAUGCCGCGUGUGUGAAGAAGGUCUUCGGAUUGUAAAGCACUUUCGACGGGGACGAUGAUGACGGUACCCGUAGAAGAAGCCCCGGCUAACUUCGUGCCAGCAGCCGCGGUAAUACGAAGGGGGCUAGCGUUGCUCGGAAUGACUGGGCGUAAAGGGCGUGUAGGCGGUUUACACAGUCAGAUGUGAAAUCCCCGGGCUUAACCUGGGAGCUGCAUUUGAUACGUGUAGACUAGAGUGUGAGAGAGGGUUGUGGAAUUCCCAGUGUAGAGGUGAAAUUCGUAGAUAUUGGGAAGAACACGGUGGCGAAGGCGGCAACCUGGCUCAUGA